AUUGAACGCUGGCGGCAGGCCUAACACAUGCAAGUCGAGCGGAUGACGGGAGCUUGCUCCUUGAUUCAGCGGCGGACGGGUGAGUAAUGCCUAGGAAUCUGCCUGGUAGUGGGGGACAACGUUUCGAAAGGAACGCUAAUACCGCAUACGUCCUACGGGAGAAAGCAGGGGACCUUCGGGCCUUGCGCUAUCAGAUGAGCCUAGGUCGGAUUAGCUAGUAGGUGAGGUAAUGGCUCACCUAGGCGACGAUCCGUAACUGGUCUGAGAGGAUGAUCAUUCACACUGGAACUGAGACACGGUCCAGACUCCUACGGGAGGCAGCAGUGGGGAAUAUUGGACAAUGGGCGAAAGCCUGAUCCAGCCAUGCCGCGUGUGUGAAGAAGGUCUUCGGAUUGUAAAGCACUUUAAGUUGGGAGGAAGGGUUGUACGUUAAUACCGUGCAAUUUUGACGUUACCGACAGAAUAAGCACCGGCUAACUCUGUGCCAGCAGCCGCCGUAA
Molecule: ribosomal RNA, 500 nt
Filed under: uncultured bacterium
Lineage: Bacteria
Description: partial 16S ribosomal RNA
Rfam family: Bacterial small subunit ribosomal RNA
Source: RNAcentral